AUUGAACGCUGGCGGUAUGCUUAACACAUGCAAGUCGAACGAUGAGAAAGAGCUUGCUCUUUCGAUUAGUGGCGGACGGGUGCGUAACGCGUAGGAAUCUACCUAUUAGUGGGGGACAACUUAGGGAAACUUAAGCUAAUACCGCAUACGCCCUACGGGGGAAAGAAGGGGAUCGCAAGACCUUUUGCUAAUAGAUGAGCCUGCGUAGGAUUAGCUAGUUGGUGGGGUAAAAGCUCACCAAGGCGACGAUCCUUAACUGGUUUGAGAGAAUGAUCAGUCACACUGGAACUGUGACACGGUCCAGACUCCUACGGGAGGCAGCAGUGGGGAAUAUUGGACAAUGGGCGAAAGCCUGAUCCAGCAAUGCCGCGUGUGUGAAGAAAGCCUUAGGGUUGUAAAGCACUUUCAAUUGGAAGGAAAACCUCGAAGCUAAUACCUUCGAGUUUGACAUUACCUUUAGAAGAAGCACCGGCUAACUCCGUGCCAGCCGCCGCAGUAA
Molecule: ribosomal RNA, 499 nt
Filed under: uncultured bacterium
Lineage: Bacteria
Description: partial 16S ribosomal RNA
Rfam family: Bacterial small subunit ribosomal RNA
Source: RNAcentral